GAUGAACGCUGGCGGCGUGCCUAAUACAUGCAAGUCGAGCGAACAGACGAGGAGCUUGCUCCUCUGUCGUUUGCGGCGGACGGGUGAGUAACACGUGUAUCACCUACCUAUAAUACUGGGAUAACUUCGGGAAACCGGCUCUAAUACCAUAGAAUAUAUUGCACCGCGUUGGUGAAUAGUGAAAUACGGUUUUUCUGUCACUUAUAGCUGGAUCCGCGCUGCAUUAGCUAGUUGGUAAGGUAACAGCUUACCAAGGCAAGGAGGCGUGGCCGACCUGAGAGGGUGAUCGGCCACACUGGAACUGAGACACGGUCCAUACUCCUACGGGAGGCAGCAGUAGGGAAUCGUCCGCAAUGGGCGAAAGCUUGACGGAGCAAGGCGGCGUGAGUGAUGAAGGUCUUCGGAUCGUAAAACUCUGUUAUUAGGGAAGAACAGAUGUGUAAGUAACUGUGCACGGAUUGACGGUACCUAAUAAGAAAGCCACGGCUAACUACGUG
Molecule: ribosomal RNA, 497 nt
Filed under: uncultured bacterium
Lineage: Bacteria
Description: partial 16S ribosomal RNA
Rfam family: Bacterial small subunit ribosomal RNA
Source: RNAcentral